GUUAUUUUAUUAGAUAAAAUCAAUGGUUAAUUGAAAAUAUUGAAUAUUUUUCUUUCUGAUUGCUGAGGAUAUCUUCCGAAAACAGAAACAUAAGAUUUGAAUUGUUCUUUUAAAAUUCUAUUGGCAGUAUGUUAACCUGAAGUCCUCUCUGUUUUUCAGCUCUAUUUGUUUGCCAGCAAAUGCUUUUCUUAUGAAAAAGAAAACUCUUGUUAUCAUCUAUUUCAGUGGCGAAGAGACCUCAUUGCAGCUACAGACACUGUAAAAAGUUGGAACUUGCUUUGACAAGGAAGUCUUAUUUGAAGAUUGUCUACCUACAAUUGAAGAGAAACUAUGCACCACUGACUGACAUGAGUAAAGAGGACUCUACAUGGCCUGUUUCUGUGCUCCCAGUGGAAAUGAACCCAGGAGGGAGAAUCUGUGAUGAGGGAUGUUAACAAGGAACAGAUGAUUACUAAAAUGGAGAUAAAAGCCAUCUUAUAGCUUGUCUGAUGCAGGAAAGAGCCCAAGGCUUAAACUGGGAAGUAACAUUAUUUAGCAAAAACUGAUUUUCAGAAAGG
Molecule: long non-coding RNA, 557 nt
Filed under: Coturnix japonica (Japanese quail)
Lineage: Eukaryota; Metazoa; Chordata; Aves; Galliformes; Phasianidae
Description: lncRNA (ENSCJPG00005000843.1)
Source: RNAcentral